CCUACGGGAGGCAGCAGUGGGGGAUAUUGCACAAUGGGGGGAACCCUGAUGCAGCGACGCCGCGUGGGUGAAGAAGGGCCUCGGCGCGUAAAGCCCUGUCAGCAGGGAAGAAAAUGACGGUACCUGAAGAAGCAGCCCCGGCUAACUACGGGCCAGCAGCCGCGGUAAUACGUAGGGGGCGAGCGUUAGCCGGAUUUACUGGGUGUAAAGGGGGCGCAGACGGCGAGGCAAGCCGGGCGUGAAAGCCCCGGGCCCAACCCCGGGACUGCUCUUGGAACUGGGUGGCUGGAGUGCAGGAGGGGCAGGUGGAAUUCCUGGUGUAGCGGUGAAAUGCGUAGAUAUCUGGAGGAAUACCGGUGGCGAAGGCGGCCUGCUGGAC
This 379-nucleotide ribosomal RNA is filed under the name uncultured bacterium. Its description in RNAcentral is "partial 16S ribosomal RNA". It matches the Rfam family "Bacterial small subunit ribosomal RNA", at positions 338 to 734 of the family's 1533-position model. The record is from RNAcentral.